RNAcentral lists this ribosomal RNA (484 nucleotides) under uncultured bacterium. Its description in RNAcentral is "partial 16S ribosomal RNA". It matches the Rfam family "Bacterial small subunit ribosomal RNA", at positions 30 to 507 of the family's 1533-position model. The record is from RNAcentral.
AUUGAACGCUGGCGGCAGGCCUAACACAUGCAAGUCGAGCGGAUGAAGGGAGCUUGCUCCUCGAUUCAGCGGCGGACGGGUGAGUAAUGCCUAGGAAUCUGCCUGGUAGUGGGGGAUAACGUCCGGAAACGGGCGCUAAUACCGCAUACGUCCUGAGGGAGAAAGUGGGGGAUCUUCGGACCUCACGCUAUCAGAUGAGCCUAGGUCGGAUUAGCUAGUUGGUGGGGUAAAGGCCUACCAAGGCGACGAUCCGUAACUGGUCUGAGAGGAUGAUCAGUCACACUGGAACUGAGACACGGUCCAGACUCCUACGGGAGGCAGCAGUGGGGAAUAUUGGACAAUGGGCGAAAGCCUGAUCCAGCCAUGCCGCGUGUGUGAAGAAGGUCUUCGGAUUGUAAAGCACUUUAAGUUGGGAGGAAGGGCAGUAAGUUAAUACCUUGCUGUUUUGACGUUACCAACAGAAUAAGCACCGGCUAACUUCGUG